GUCGAGCGAACAGACGAGGAGCUUGCUCCUCUGACGUUAGCGGCGGACGGGUGAGUAACACGUGGAUAACCUACCUAUAAGACUGGGAUAACUUCGGGAAACCGGAGCUAAUACCGGAUAAUAUAUUGAACCGCAUGGUUCAAUAGUGAAAGACGGUUUUGCUGUCACUUAUAGAUGGAUCCGCGCCGCAUUAGCUAGUUGGUAAGGUAACAGCUUACCAAGGCAACGAUGCGCAGCCGACCUGAGAGGGUGAUCGGCCACACUGGAACUGAGACACGGUCCAGACUCCUACGGGAGGCAGCAGUAGGGAAUCUUCCGCAAUGGGCGAAAGCCUGACGGAGCAACGCCGCGUGAGUGAUGAAGGUCUUCGGAUCGUAAAACUCUGUUAUUAGGGAAGAACAAAUGUGUAAGUAACUAUGCACGUCUUGACGGUACCUAAUCAGAAAGCCACGGCUAACUACGUGCCAGCAGCCGCGGUAAUACGUAGGUGGCAAGCGUUAUCCGGAAUUAUUGGGCGUAAAGCGCGCGUAGGCGGUUUUUUAAGUCUGAUGUGAAAGCCCACGGCUCAACCGUGGAGGGUCAUUGGAAACUGGAAAACUUGAGUGCAGAAGAGGAAAGUGGAAUUCCAUGUGUAGCGGUGAAAUGCGCAGAGAUAUGGAGGAACACCAGUGGCGAAGGCGACUUUCUGGUCUGUAACUGACGCUGAUGUGCGA
Molecule: ribosomal RNA, 713 nt
Filed under: uncultured Staphylococcus sp.
Lineage: Bacteria; Bacillati; Bacillota; Bacilli; Caryophanales; Staphylococcaceae
Description: bacterial SSU rRNA
Rfam family: Bacterial small subunit ribosomal RNA
Source: RNAcentral